RNAcentral lists this ribosomal RNA (254 nucleotides) under uncultured bacterium. RNAcentral describes it as "partial 16S ribosomal RNA". It matches the Rfam family "Bacterial small subunit ribosomal RNA", at positions 524 to 776 of the family's 1533-position model. The record is from RNAcentral.
UACGUAGGGUGCAAGCGUUAUCCGGAUUUACUGGGCGUAAAGGGCGCGUAGGCGGUCAGCACAAGUCAGUUGUGAAAUCUCCGGGCUUAACUCGGAAAGGUCAACUGAUACUGUGCGACUAGAGUGCGGAAGGGGCAACUGGAAUUCUCGGUGUAGCGGUGAAAUGCGUAGAUAUCGAGAGGAACACCUGCGGCGAAGGCGGGUUGCUGGGCCGACACUGACGCUGAUGCGCGAAAGCCAGGGGAGCGAACGGG